UUCACGCCGACCAGAAUCAGAAGAUUCAGAACUAGCCCAACCUCGCAACGCCCGUGAAUCAUCUCAGGCGCAAAGCGAAUUAGACCGGACAGUUGAUCAGAUUCCGAGCAUUUGUAUCAGUUUGCUUGCUAGUUACUGUGAAGGAUGGGAUCCUUGACAAAUCUUGCUCCGCCCAAAUACAAGAGGCGGAGGGUUUCUUGUAAACGGGAUUUUCCACCUGGGUGUGGACGGAAUGCUCCACGUAUCAAUCUGAAGCCUAGGGAUUCUGAGGUUGUACCAUCACUUGAUGAUAAAGAGAACUCGAUGGCUGGUGAAAAGAAAGUGGAUGUUGCAAGCGGGGAUUGUGUUAAAGCUUCUGAAAAUGAGAAUGGCUUAUUAUCUCAUCAAGUGGUGAAAACUGCUGUACGGGAUUUUCCACCUGGGUGUGGUCCGAGUGCUCCGUGUAUCAAAAUUCAGGCUGGGGAUUCUGAGGCAGUGGCAUCACUUGGUGACAAAGAUAAUUCCUUGGCUGAUAAAAAGAGAGUGAAUGCUACGAACGGGGAUGGUGUUAAAGCUUUUGAAAAUGGAGAAGAGUCAUUAUCUCAACAAGUGGUUAAGGAUUUUCCUCCUGAGUGUGGAAAGAAUGCACGACACAUCACUCUGAAGGCCGUGGGUACCGAGGCAGUGGCCUCAUUGGGUGGCAAAGAGAAUUUGAUUGCUGAUGAAAAGAAAGUAAAUGUUGCUGAGGGUGAUUGUGUUAAAGCUAUUGAAAGUGGGAAUGAGUCUGUAUCUCAGCAAGUGGUACAAAGUGCAGUGGAGUUAGAACCACCCACCACUUUGGAUGAUUUGGUGGGGAGGGUGGUCGCUGCGAUUGGGGUCAAUGUCGAAUUUCCCUCCACUGUAAGGCCUCUGGGAAUUGGAUCGCCAAAAGUUUCAGAACUCAAGGAAUCAGAACUACCAAACGAGUUGCAUGAUACUGACGCACCAGCUGAAAGUAAGACAUCACUUGAGAUUGGGUCUAAAGCAGAUGGGAUGGUUCCGGCCAGUAGGUCAAAAGCAUGGUCUCCGCCUGAAUGGCCUAUUUGUGAUUCCAAAAUGUUGAAAGACCCUCCUUUGAGAAGCAAACUUCCUAGGAGAAGGGUUUCGGCUACCCGUGACUUCCCUCCCUUCUGUGGAAGGAAUGCUCCAUGCCCAACUGAGGAGGAGCGGCGGUGGAUUCUCUUGGGAAACAAGACUCCGUGUCCUCCAGAUAAGCCUGCUGCUGGUGAGAUUGAGCUGUUAAGAGGGACAGUGAAACCUAAAGAGGAAGAGAGUCCACCGAGAGAGACAUCAAGACCUGGAAUGGAAGAAUUGGAUGCUGAUGUUGGUGACGGGAUGAAAGAAACUUUGGCAGAACUAAAUUCCAAGGCUGAUGAGGAAGGUAAGCCUUCAAUAGUGGAACUGAGGGCUGAUGUUGAAGUUAGUCCAUUAGGAGAGAGAGAGGUCGCUGUUGUUGAAGAAUUGAAGGAGGACGUUAGGGACAGUCAUGCCCAAAAGAGGAAGUUAGAAGGAAGGAUUCCCGAUCAGAAAACCAAGUCUCAGAAAGUAAUUGGAAAGGAUGUUACUGGUGUCAAAGGGGAAGUGGGAAAGGAAAUUGUGGUUUACCGGCUUGGUAAAAGUUCUACGAAAAAGACUCCAGGCGGUGCUGCCAUUGCCUUGGCAGAUAAUUCUGACAGGGUGAUUGUGCAAGGCAUUAUGGCUGCACCAAAUUGUCCUUGGAGGCAGGGAAAAGGGGCUGCUGACCCUAGUCCAGGUACUGCUGUGACUGUUAGUGAGAAGAGAAGACAUGCCACCAGAUCCAUCACGCCGGAAGAGAAACCUAAAUCUGCCCUCACGCUAAAAGCUAAGAAGAAGUUACUUCCUUCCCACAAGGAAGCAUAUAAGGGUAAAGGCCAACUGGUGGUCAAGGAUUUGGGGGAUUUUGCUGUACAAGUGCGAAAUGAAAGUCCUUCUGGGGGCAAGAGACCGCAUGAUUUUGAGGUGGCCGUUCCUCCUUUUGGUCCUAACAGUUCAAGACAUGGUGAUGAGCGCAUCAAAGUGAGGGAAACAUUACGUCUCUUCCAAGCUAUUUGUAGGAAGCUAUUGCAAGCAGAAGAAGCAAAAUUGAGACAAAAAGGAGACCCUGCCAAAAGAAUUGAUUUGCUAGCGGCACAAAUUGUCAGAGAUAAAGGGAAAGAAGUUAAUACAGCAAAAUUUGCAAUAGGAUCUGUGCCUGGAGUUGAAGUAGGGGACGAAUUUCAAUACAGGGUAGAGUUGGCCCUUGUGGGGAUUCACCGGCUUUAUCAAGCUGGUAUUGAUUACACAAAACAUGGUAAGAUGAUCAUUGCAACAAGUAUCGUUGCUUCAGGGGUUUAUGCGGAUGAUUUAGAUAACCCUGAUGUUUUGACAUACUCUGGUCAAGGAGGGAUUGUAACGGGUAAGGAUAAACAACCCGAGGACCAAAAACUUGAAAGAGGGAACUUAGCUCUCAAGAAUAGUAUAACUACGAGGAAUCCGGUACGGGUAGUUAGAGGUUUUAAAGAGACAAAAACUUCAAAAACAGACUCAAAAGCCAAGGUGGUUCCGACGUAUACUUAUGAUGGCUUGUAUACGGUGGAGAAGUAUAGGCAUGAUGUAGGGCCCCACGGUAAGCUUGUUUUCAUGUUUGAAUUGAGGAGAAUUCCAGGUCAACCGGAGCUUGCAUGGAAAGAAGUUAAGAAAUCAAACAAGUUUAAAGCACGUGAAGGACUUCGCGUCGAUGAUAUUUCAGGAGGGAAGGAGUUUUUUCCCAUUUGCGCUGUAAACACCGUGGACAGUGAGUUACCGCCGACAUUUAAUUACAUAAAUGAGAUGAAAUAUCCGGAUUGGUACUGCCCUACUACCCCUAGGGGUUGUGAUUGUAUUGGAGGAUGUUCUGACUCUAAGAAAUGCUCUUGUGUAGUAAAAAAUGGAGGAGAGAUUCCGUACAACCACAAUGGUGCAAUAGUGGAGGCAAAGCCUCUGGUCUACGAGUGUGGUCCUUCUUGCAACUGUCCUCCUUCUUGCUACAAUAGAGUCACCCAGCUUGGCAUUCAAAUCCAACUUGAAAUCUUCAAAACUGAGUCUAGGGGAUGGGGUGUUAGAUCCCUAACUUCUAUUCCUUCGGGGAGUUUUAUAUGCGAGUAUUUUGGGGAGCUUAUUGAAGACAAGGAAGCUGAACAGAGGCACAACGAUGAAUACUUGUUUGACAUUGGGAAAAAUUACAGUGACUGUUGGGCCGCAGAUGGACUUUCUCCUGAGGUGGUGGAGGAGGGUUGUUUCACCAUUGAUGCAGCAGAAUUUGGGAAUGUGGGGAGGUUCAUCAACCAUAGUUGUUCCCCCAACCUUUACGCUCAGAAUGUCCUUUAUGAUCAUGAAGACAAGAAAAUGCCACAUAUAAUGCUCUUUGCCGCUGAGAAUAUUCCACCUUUACAAGAGCUGACUUACCAUUAUAAUUAUUCAGUCGAUCAGGUCCGUGAUUUGAGUGGCAACAUUAAGAUGAAGAACUGUUAUUGUGGUUCUGCAGAGUGCAGUGGCAGGAUGUAUUGAGUUCAAAAGAAGAAAAAUGUUUGGGUUUCUCACCACGUUGUCAUGAAUCAUUGCAAGCAUGUAAUUUUGGGAUGUAUGGAGUAUCUACGCAAGGAAACAUGCAGAUAUGAAUCCGCAUGUGGAGGCAGAGAUCGUAUUGAAUAGAAGAGACGCCUGAAUACAUUCCUAAGCUUUUCAACAGGACAGAAACAUUAGUAGGAAGGCUUCCAUUUGACGGAAGGAAGCGAUAAAAUAAAAGGGGGGGCAAUAAAAUGUUGCUGUCGGGAUCAUAUUAUGAUUUUCUGGCAGCUCGAACAUGAAUCUGUACAUAUCCGUCUGGCAGUGGCUUCUCCAUAUUUUUCUGAAUAAGGACUUUUAUGCCAAGGCAUGGCUGCUAAGAAUCUGGUGGACUAUCUGCCUCCACUGUAGUACUACAGAUGAAUUUUGUGGAAAAUAAGUAAUGAAGUAUGCGACUGGUGGUUUGUGACAGGGUUUACAUUUCUUCUGCCACGGGGAGUUUCUUUCCAAGAAUGCUUGACUGGGUGGAUUUCUGGAUUUGUUCAACUAGAUUGUUACCUGGGACCGAUGAAUUGCUAACCAAGUAUGGCUAAGCCUAAUUGACUACCCUUACACGACAAUGGGUCAGAUUUUGUCGAAGGCUAGAAUUGAUUGUUAUUUCUCAUAUACUAACUAGAGUGGUUAAAUUGCGGACGUGUCCGCGUCCGUGUCCGCAUGCUUCUGUAUAUUAAGUGUUGAACUUUAUUUCGUUAUAUUGAUUGUUAUUCCCCUAGUUGGUUAGCCAAUUCCGAAGCUAGGGAUGGCUACUUUUGUUAGUUUGGUUUAGUUGUUCGGUUACCAUAUUUACUAUUCUUCUUUUGCAAUGGCAAGUGUUACGCCCCCA
RNA transcript from Rhododendron vialii, 4444 nucleotides. RefSeq lists it as uncharacterized. Lineage: Eukaryota; Viridiplantae; Streptophyta; Magnoliopsida; Ericales; Ericaceae. The transcript has 5 exons. The record is from RefSeq and is a predicted model, not a curated record.